Cotesia glomerata is the source of this 256-nucleotide long non-coding RNA. RefSeq lists it as uncharacterized. The record is from RefSeq and is a predicted model, not a curated record. The transcript has 3 exons. Lineage: Eukaryota; Metazoa; Arthropoda; Insecta; Hymenoptera; Braconidae.
UAAACGUUUUGUCAAAUAGUAAUAAAAUUUCAUUACUAUUAAAUAAAAUUGUCCCUCAGUGUGGGCUAGAUAUCAGAGAUGCACAGGUCUGAUAGGGUCUGAGCGUAUUUAAGGCUUCAGACAUGAACAGACAUGAGCAGGCAUGAACAGGCAUGAACAGGUCUGAUCAGGUCUGAACGAAUCUAACGCUUCAGAGCAUGAACAGACAUGAGCAGGCAUGAACAGGUCUGAUCAGGAUCUGAGCGUAUCUAAUGCU